This 208-nucleotide long non-coding RNA is filed under the name Vigna radiata. Its description in RNAcentral is "long non-coding RNA (VRAD_LNC010193)". The record is from RNAcentral. Lineage: Eukaryota; Viridiplantae; Streptophyta; Magnoliopsida; Fabales; Fabaceae.
UUUGUGUUAUGUGUUUGUGAAUGAAAUUAUCGAUGAUGAUCGUAUAAUGCAUUAUACGUGAGCAAAUGAUGUUGCAGAUGUAGAGAGGCAUGAUAGAUUCGUGAGAUGAUGGGGAAAAUAUUUGAAUUUCUUUAAAAAGUUCUUUUGGUAUAGACUUUUGAUAUAAUGUAUUUGUAGUUGUUUUAUUUCCUUAGUUAUUUUAAUUACU